RNAcentral lists this ribosomal RNA (484 nucleotides) under uncultured bacterium. RNAcentral describes it as "partial 16S ribosomal RNA". It matches the Rfam family "Bacterial small subunit ribosomal RNA", at positions 30 to 507 of the family's 1533-position model. The record is from RNAcentral.
AUUGAACGCUGGCGGCAGGCCUAACACAUGCAAGUCGAGCGGAUGAAGGGAGCUUGCUCCUGGAUUCAGCGGCGGACGGGUGAGUAAUGCCUAGGAAUCUGCCUGGUAGUGGGGGAUAACGUCCGGAAACGGGCGCUAAUACCGCAUACGUCCUGAGGGAGAAAGUGGGGGAUCUUCGGACCUCACGCUAUCAGAUGAGCCUAGGUCGGAUUAGCUAGUUGGUGGGGUAAAGGCCUACCAAGGCGACGAUCCGUAACUGGUCUGAGAGGAUGAUCAGUCACACUGGAACUGAGACACGGUCCAGACUCCUACGGGAGGCAGCAGUGGGGAAUAUUGGACAAUGGGCGAAAGCCUGAUCCAGCCAUGCCGCGUGUGUGAAGAAGGUCUUCGGAUUGUAAAGCAUUUUAAGUUGGGAGGAAGGGCAGUAAGUUAAUACCUUGCUGUUUUGACGUUACCGACAGAAUAAGCACCGGCUAACUUCGUG